Molecule: small RNA, 98 nt
Filed under: Flavobacterium sp. 102
Lineage: Bacteria; Pseudomonadati; Bacteroidota; Flavobacteriia; Flavobacteriales; Flavobacteriaceae
Description: Flavo-1 RNA
Rfam family: Flavo-1 RNA
Source: RNAcentral
AACUAGCCCCGAUGGUAGUGAAAAUCCUUUUUAUUUGCCAUACUGAGCGCAGUCGAAGUAUAAAAAUAAAAAGAUUGUAACGAACAGCGGGAAAUAGC